RNAcentral lists this ribosomal RNA (433 nucleotides) under uncultured bacterium. RNAcentral describes it as "partial 16S ribosomal RNA". It matches the Rfam family "Bacterial small subunit ribosomal RNA", at positions 29 to 507 of the family's 1533-position model. The record is from RNAcentral.
AACGAACGCUGGCGGCAUGCCUAACACAUGCAAGUCGAACGAGACCUUCGGGUCUAGUGGCGCACGGGUGCGUAACGCGUGGGAACCUGCCCUUAGGUUCGGAAUCACUCCCCGAAAGGUGUGCUAAUACCGGAUAAUGUCUUCGGACCAAAGAUCUCUCGCCUUUGGAUGGGCCCGCGUUGGAUUAGCUAGUUGGUAGGGUAAAAGCCUACCAAGGCGACGAUCCAUAGCUGGUCUGAGAGGAUGAUCAGCCACACUGGGACUGAGACACGGCCCAGACUCCUACGGGAGGCAGCAGUGGGGAAUAUUGGACAAUGGGCGAAAGCCUGAUACAGCAAUGCCGCGUGAGUGAUGAAGGCCUUAGGGUUGUAAAGCUCUUUUACCCGGGAUGAUAAUGACAGUACCGGGAGAAUAAGCACCGGCUAACUCCGUG